RNAcentral lists this non-coding RNA (107 nucleotides) under Thioclava dalianensis. RNAcentral's name for it is "TPP sequence". It matches the Rfam family "TPP riboswitch aptamer (THI element)". From Rfam's summary of the family: Vitamin B(1) in its active form thiamin pyrophosphate (TPP) is an essential coenzyme that is synthesised by coupling of pyrimidine and thiazole moieties in bacteria. The previously detected thiamin-regulatory element, thi box was extended, resulting in a new, highly conserved RNA secondary structure, the THI element, which is widely distributed in eubacteria and also occurs in some archaea. The record is from Rfam by way of RNAcentral. Lineage: Bacteria; Pseudomonadati; Pseudomonadota; Alphaproteobacteria; Rhodobacterales; Paracoccaceae.
CCCCUCACCUCGGGGUGCCGGCGCCUGUCCGGCUGAGAUGCGAACUGCGCGAACCCGUUGAACCUGAACCGGUUAAGACCGGCGGAGGGAAGGUAUCCGGCACGCCC